RNAcentral lists this ribosomal RNA (216 nucleotides) under uncultured bacterium. Its description in RNAcentral is "partial 16S ribosomal RNA". It matches the Rfam family "Bacterial small subunit ribosomal RNA", at positions 118 to 351 of the family's 1533-position model. The record is from RNAcentral.
UGGGAGCGUGCCUUUUGGUUCGGAACAACACAGGGAAACUUGUGCUAAUACCGGAUAAGCCCUUACGGGGAAAGAUUUAUCGCCAAAAGAUCGGCCCGCGUCUGAUUAGCUAGUUGGUGGGGUAAUGGCCCACCAAGGCGACGAUCAGUAGCUGGUCUGAGAGGAUGAUCAGCCACACUGGGACUGAGACACGGCCCAGACUCCUACGGGAGGCAG